This 251-nucleotide long non-coding RNA is filed under the name Arabidopsis lyrata. Its description in RNAcentral is "long non-coding RNA (ALYR_LNC000761)". Lineage: Eukaryota; Viridiplantae; Streptophyta; Magnoliopsida; Brassicales; Brassicaceae. The record is from RNAcentral.
AGCUCUUUUUUAGUCUUUAGUUCUUUAAUUUUGAGUUAAUUGAUGAUCUAAUGAAUUUCUAACUCUUAAACUUUGAAACCCAAAACUCAAGUAUAUAUCCUGUCUAUUUAAAGCCUAUAUCUUGUUUCUGAGAUAACAAUGAAAAGAACAACAAAACUAUAUGCAAUGGGUAAGAACAACAAAAAGUCAAACAGCAUCAUACUAAAUAUAUUAGAAAGGAUAAAUCUCCAUAAAUUUAUAUUUGAUUUGCA